RNAcentral lists this small RNA (137 nucleotides) under uncultured Mediterraneibacter sp. RNAcentral describes it as "Ribosomal protein L10 leader". It matches the Rfam family "Ribosomal protein L10 leader", at positions 14 to 136 of the family's 138-position model. From Rfam's summary of the family: This family is a putative r-protein leader autoregulatory structure found in B. subtilis and other low-GC Gram-positive bacteria. It is located in the 5' untranslated regions of mRNAs encoding ribosomal proteins L10 and L12 (rplJ-rplL). The record is from RNAcentral. Lineage: Bacteria; Bacillati; Bacillota; Clostridia; Lachnospirales; Lachnospiraceae.
UAUAUGAGCAACUGCCGAAGACAGUAGGUGCUGUAAAGCGUAAGGUUUCAAACGCCUACCGAGGAGAGUCAGAUUUUAUACAUGUGUAUGGAUUUGUGAACCUCUGCGUCUUUGGAUGCGGAGGUUUUUUAUUAUCU